UAUCCUAAUGACACUUGCUACGAACCGAGCGGUCGGAAGUUCGAGCCGAGCGUAGCGAGACAACGUUGCUUUAGCAACGACCCGAAGGGCGAGGCGCUAGCCGAGUCAUCUUCCUAGGUGCACCA
Molecule: non-coding RNA, 125 nt
Organism: Yersinia ruckeri
Lineage: Bacteria; Pseudomonadati; Pseudomonadota; Gammaproteobacteria; Enterobacterales; Yersiniaceae
Source: Rfam